This 510-nucleotide ribosomal RNA is filed under the name uncultured bacterium. RNAcentral describes it as "bacterial SSU rRNA". It matches the Rfam family "Bacterial small subunit ribosomal RNA", at positions 28 to 528 of the family's 1533-position model. The record is from RNAcentral.
GAUGAACGCUAGCGGCAGGCCUAAUACAUGCAAGUCGAACGGAUAUAUGUUUUUCGGAAUAUAUAUUAGUGGCGCACGGGUGAGUAACACGUACAUAACUUGCCCUCAAGCGGGGGAUAGCCUUGGGAAACUGAGAGUAAUACCCCAUAGAAUUAUUGGACGGCAUCGUUUGAUAAUUAAAACUACGGUGCUUGGGGAUAGAUGUGCGUCUGAUUAGCUAGUUGGUGAGGUAACUGCUCACCAAGGCGACGAUCAGUAGGGGGCGUGAGAGCGUGGCCCCCCACACGGGUACUGAGACACGGACCCGACUCCUACGGGAGGCAGCAGUGGGGAAUCUUGCGCAAUGGGCGAAAGCCUGACGCAGCGACGCCGCGUGGGUGACGAAGGCCUUCGGGUUGUAAAGCCCUGUGGGGGGAGGACGAACCGGCCUGUGGCUAAUAUCCACGGGUCUUGACGGUAUCCCUUUAGCAAGCAUCGGCUAACUCUGUGCCAGCAGCCGCGGUAAAGUAG